GUGUUUUAUUGCUCUUUGAGGCCCACUAAGAGGCUCAGUGCUGUUUCAUAGUCCAGAGUAGCAGCAGCUCUUUAUUCUUUUUAACACACAGCUGAAAAAUACUCAAGUUCUGUUACAAAAUGGUGUGAUUCCUUUUUUUUUGCCAGUCCGCCCUCAAAACCGCACGUACUCCCCCCACUGUAGGCGGCAAACAGCACUCUCCAUGCAAUUAAAGGGGAGCAGACGUGCACAGGGAAAAACGUCGCCUUCCACAGCACUGUCUGCACAAAGAGGGUCUCCAUUUUGAAAAAGAAACAAAAACAAACCACACUAUGAUAAUGGUUUGCAAAGACAUGACAUCUGAGAAGACAAAAACCUCCGGAGUUGCGAUUCCUUCCCAAAACACCCCUUGUUUUCUCAGGUUGUGUGUUCGGAUGCUGAAAGAAUCAUAGAGGCUGCGGCGAAGCUUCUUAGCCCUGCCCCUUCCUCCCUGGGCCUAAGGCUGCGCGCGGAGCGAAGCAGAAAGGAGUCGCCAUGUUUUCUUUACAUGGAGGGUCUAAAUAAAAAAUGAAGGCAGUAGAGCUUCAGGACGUUGCAAAGGACCAGAAGGAGUGGGUCUCAAGAGCCAAAUUCGGAAAAGAAUAUAUUAUACCCAUCAUAUCAGUGAGUCAUGCCAGCUACUGUAUGCACCGGGGCUGAAGGAUCUUGACCUCCACAAGGUACUUUUUACCCUCUGAAUUCAUGAGAUUAGAUGAAAGGUCUGCUCAGAGAUCC
Molecule: long non-coding RNA, 753 nt
Filed under: Cyanistes caeruleus (blue tit)
Lineage: Eukaryota; Metazoa; Chordata; Aves; Passeriformes; Paridae
Description: lncRNA (ENSCCEG00000008295.1)
Source: RNAcentral